Molecule: long non-coding RNA, 1243 nt
Organism: Papaver somniferum (opium poppy)
Lineage: Eukaryota; Viridiplantae; Streptophyta; Magnoliopsida; Ranunculales; Papaveraceae
Exons: 9
Source: RefSeq, a predicted model, not a curated record
AUUCAAGUUCUCUUUAUUUUCUUUUUUUAUAACUUUAUUUGUUGAUUUGGUUGAUUCUCUUCAUUGGGUUUUAAUUAUUUUUCGAUUAUUGGUUGAUUUCAGGUUGAUUUCUCAAUUUGGUGCGGUUAUUAGAGAUUGAUUUUGCAAACUUCACAGGUAUUUAUUGUUUGAUUUCUGUCAGACAGCUUAACUUAUAGGAACAUCUUCAUCAGACAAGUAUGAUAUGAGGAGAGGUCGGUUUGCAAAGGACGGACUGAUUCAGUACCGGAUUGUAUGCCAACAAGUUAAUGUUGGUUCUCUAUAAGAGGUGAUCAAACUCUUUUUGCAUAUUUCAACUGAGAAAGCUGAAAACGCAAAGACCCAGGCAGAGGCUUUAGAAGAAGCUUUAGACAUUGAUGACUGCGCAUCGAGUCUUCCGGUUUUGUAACAAGCACAAGAGAACAACUGAAUUCCGUAGGCUUUACGAAAUAAUCAGAAACCAUCUUGCAAAUCUUAACAAAUACAAGGACCAAAUAGACAUACCUGACUAAUUGAGAUUGAACUUUGGCAGGAAGCUUUUCGUUUUGUGGAAGACAUUCAUGGUUUGAUGUGUAUGGUAAAGAAAACUCCCAAGCCAUCAGUGAUGGUCAUUUAUUAUGGCAAGCUGGCAGAGAUGUUCCGGGUUUCGAACAGUCAACUUUAUAAUGCCUAUGCAUGGUCCAAAAUGAUCUCACGACAAAGGAACCAAUCCCUGUUAUACAACUUGUCAGAGAAACUGCUGCUGUCAUGCAAGAGUUUACUCAAUCUGGGUACACUGAUGAUGUGGAGCUUGAAGAUGCUACUCACACGACUAUUUUGACUCUGAAAGAAGGGUGCUUGGAACUGAUGAUAGUGGAUUUACUGCAAAUGAGAAUGAAGCUCCAUCAAUUUUGACAACUGUUGGAGAUGAUGAGUAUUGGAGUGGAGAAUCUUAGGGAACAAGAAAUGGGGAUACACGUACAUGAAUGAACUUGCCCAACACCUUAUAAUUCAACUGGUGGAAAUCAUGUAGCUCCCCUGCGCACAUGAAGUCGCAAGUGAACCAAUGACACAGCACAUGGAUGCUCUGCUUGAUAUCAUUUGUGAAGUAUUGGCUAAUUAAGUUCAUUGUCAUAGGAGGAGCUGAAUUAUCAUUUUGUUUUUUUUAACAGUUAUCUAUUAGUUUAGCAUGUUGUUGUCAGAACUUAGCUAUCUUGGACAUGUAUUCUCCGAACUCAAUAUUUCA